GAAGAAUUUUACAGAAUCGAGUCCCCGCUGCUCACAAUCAUCUACCACAUAGCGAUGUCGAAAACGAAACCAAGGAAAUGACAAGAAACCAGUUGCAUUGCUUCCGAUCUGAGGUGAAAACUACUCAUAAUUUACAAGUCACCCUCAUCCUUGGUUGUCAUCUCAUAUAUCACCGUCCACCGGACAGUUCGAUGGCAUCGAGGUUAUACACAGAAUC
This 217-nucleotide unclassified non-coding RNA is filed under the name Hevea brasiliensis (rubber tree). Lineage: Eukaryota; Viridiplantae; Streptophyta; Magnoliopsida; Malpighiales; Euphorbiaceae. The record is from RNAcentral.